AAGAGUCUGACGAUGGGAUGCCGGUUGGCACUAGCUUUGGCCUCCAUUAUCCUCUCGUUUUGCACCUUAUAGCCUAGAAUGUCGCCUAUACCAUGAAAAAGAAGGACUUAAUGUCGGUCAUGUCUGAUAUGGUCAAUAUCCCAGGAUGGAAUACACGUAGGGCCAUAGAGCCCGUAUAGGAGAUUCUGAAAAUCAUUGGGCGUAAUGCUCCUGCCAUCAAUAAAGCCUUAACUACCAAACGGAACAGUUCUUACAGCAGACAGAUCGACAGGGCGGUCGGUGGGCAAUGGUGUUGGAUAUUCGGUAUGGCAACUGGGCACGCGUAUUAUUAUUUUAUGCUCCCGGACCUUACAAGCAGAGUGCUGAGAGUAGAAUUUUUUCGCGUCUAUAUUUUGUAUAAUAGAAAUAUUCUUUGAAAAAACAUUAAUA
Non-coding RNA from Cinara cedri, 429 nucleotides. The record is from the annotation of a GenBank genome assembly. Lineage: Eukaryota; Metazoa; Arthropoda; Insecta; Hemiptera; Aphididae.